GUGCUCGCUUCGGUAGCACAGACACUAAAAGUGGGUGGAGGUCAGAAUGGCCCUGUGCAAGGAUGAUAUGCAACACUACAAUGUUCCAUAUAUUUAA
Molecule: small nuclear RNA, 97 nt
Filed under: Peromyscus maniculatus bairdii (prairie deer mouse)
Lineage: Eukaryota; Metazoa; Chordata; Mammalia; Rodentia; Cricetidae
Source: RNAcentral